GCCCUUCUAGCUCAGUCGGUAGAGCGCAAGGCUCUUAACCUUGUGGUCUUGGGUUCCAGCCCCAAGGUGGGCG
RNAcentral lists this transfer RNA (73 nucleotides) under Hordeum vulgare. RNAcentral describes it as "tRNA-Lys". It matches the Rfam family "tRNA". Rfam says of the family: Transfer RNA (tRNA) molecules are approximately 80 nucleotides in length. The record is from RNAcentral. Lineage: Eukaryota; Viridiplantae; Streptophyta; Magnoliopsida; Poales; Poaceae.